GAUGAAGAACGUAGCAAAAUGCGAUACUUGGUGUGAAUUGCAGAAUCCCGUGAACCAUCGAGUUUUUGAACGCAAGUUGCGCCCGAAACCAUCCGGUUGAGGGCACGCCUGCCUGGGCGUCACGCAUCGCGUCGUCCCCCAACAUACUCUCCCUUUCUGGGUUGUCAUGUUGAUUGGGGACGGAGAUUGGCCUCUCGUGCUUCUGGUGCGGUUGGCCUAAAUAGGAGGCCCCUUCGGUGGAUACACGGCUAGUGGUGGUUGUUAAGACCCUCGUAUUGUGCUGUGUGUUGUGAGCUGUUAGGGAAACCCUCACCAAAGACCCUAUUGUAUCGUCUUGGUAUGAUGCUUCGACCGCGACCCCAGGUCAGGCGGGACUACCCGCUGAGUUUAAGCAUAUCAAUAAGCGGAGGA
RNAcentral lists this unclassified non-coding RNA (411 nucleotides) under soil metagenome. RNAcentral's name for it is "partial contains 5.8S ribosomal RNA, internal transcribed spacer 2, and large subunit ribosomal RNA". The stretch from base 1 to 122 matches the Rfam family "5.8S ribosomal RNA", at positions 35 to 154 of the family's 154-position model. The record is from RNAcentral.